RNAcentral lists this transfer RNA (77 nucleotides) under Meinhardsimonia xiamenensis. RNAcentral's name for it is "Albidovulum xiamenense tRNA-Pro". It matches the Rfam family "tRNA". From Rfam's summary of the family: Transfer RNA (tRNA) molecules are approximately 80 nucleotides in length. Their secondary structure includes four short double-helical elements and three loops (D, anti-codon, and T loops). RNAcentral also lists the same sequence under 2 other names. Lineage: Bacteria; Pseudomonadati; Pseudomonadota; Alphaproteobacteria; Rhodobacterales; Paracoccaceae. The record is from RNAcentral.
CGGAGUGUAGCUCAGCCUGGUAGAGCACUGUCUUCGGGAGGCAGGGGCCGCGCGUUCGAAUCGCGCCACUCCGACCA